CAGUCGCCGCGGUAAUACAGAGGGUGCGAGCGUUAAUUGGAUUUACUGGGCGUAAAGCGUGCGUAGGCGGCUAAUUGAGUCGGAUGUGAAAUCCCCGAGCUUAACUUGGGAAUUGCAUUCGAUACUGGUUAGCUAGAGUGUGGGAGAGGAUGGUAGAAUUCCAGGUGUAGCGGUGAAAUGCGUAGAGAUCUGGAGGAAUACCGAUGGCGAAGGCAGCCAUCUGGCCUAACACUGACGCUGAGGUACGAAAGCAUGGGGAGCAAACAGGAUUAGAUACCCCGGUAGUCCCUGUCUCUUAUAC
This 301-nucleotide ribosomal RNA is filed under the name uncultured bacterium. Its description in RNAcentral is "partial 16S ribosomal RNA". It matches the Rfam family "Bacterial small subunit ribosomal RNA", at positions 509 to 807 of the family's 1533-position model. The record is from RNAcentral.